CUGUUUCAGAAGGUAAAAGUACAGAAGCGAGCAGAGGGGAUAGUACCAUCUUCAACAUAGCUAGCCUUUCCACGGUGCCUUUCCAUCCCUCUAAAGCUCAAACGAUUGCAAGGCCGCAGCUCGCUCUGGGCGAGCAGACACACGUGUACCCUACGCAUGCGCCCAGACGAGACCUACCCGCCCCUUCGACCAGACCCCUUCAGCCAAGUCACCAACCAGCCCUCUAAAUGCCCGCCCUCAGGGCUAAAUCCUCGGCCAAUUGAGAUGCAAGAUCAUCUUACACGUCACUUAUUUAGCAUAUACCCUCUCCCCGCCCCCAAGUUACGGCCCCGCCCACUCAGAGGCAGGGAUUGUCGCCUAAGAGCUUCGUCCUGCCACCUGAUUGGCUCCUCUGCCAGCUCCGCCUCUGUCUCCUCCCACCGCCCUCCCCUCCACGCUCCCACAGCGGGCGGAGCUAAGUACGCCGGCGCAGGGGCACCCUCUCUUUUUUGGUGGCCCGCCUCCCUCCUCCCCCUCCUCCCCUCCCCAUCCCCUCUCCCCUCUCCCUCUCUCGGCCUGCGCGCGCGCGUCUUCCUCCUGCACGCGCGCCACUACCCGAGCACUCCGCCGGAGCCUCUGGCCCGCGCGUUCCUUUCCUCUCCGGCUGCGGAGCGGGCGGGAUCCUGCACCGCAGUCGCGGAAGCAGCGGCAGCUCGGCCGGACACGGGCAGCGGCGGCGGGCAGCGGCGCGCGAGCCCCCAGGCAGACCGUACCACCGCUCACCAGCACCGCGGGGGGAGCCGGCCGCCCCGCCGCACACGCCUCGACGACUCCGCGGGGCUGAGGCGUCGCCCGCGCCCGGAGCGUGAUCGCCAGCCGGCGUCGACCCCGCUCCGAGCCCCGCGGCCGCGCCUGCCGGCGGCCCCACCCCAUCCGGGCCGAGGAGGCCGCGGCCAUGGCCGAGACGGAGGAGCGGAGCCUGGACAAACUUCUUCGCCAAGAGGGACAAGAAGAAGAGAAGGAGCGGAGCAACCGGGCGCGAGCGCCGCGAGUGGCGCCGGCGGGAGCAGUGGAGCCGCGGCGCUGGCGGGAGCAGCGGAGCCGGGGGCUCGGCUGGCGGUGGCGCCCGGCCGGCGACGGCGGGACCGCGGGCGUGGGCCCGGCCAGGCGACAGCGGGACCGCGGGCGCCGCCACCAGGCCGUGACGAAGGAUGA
RNAcentral lists this long non-coding RNA (1194 nucleotides) under Camelus dromedarius (Arabian camel). Its description in RNAcentral is "lncRNA (ENSCDRG00005005372.1)". Lineage: Eukaryota; Metazoa; Chordata; Mammalia; Artiodactyla; Camelidae. The record is from RNAcentral.